AAAGGAACCUCCAUACUGUUCUCCACUUUUCAUGUUUAUUAAUUGUCAUUCUACUGUAAGGAAGCCUCCUUCCCCUUCCCUCCCUCCCUCCCUCCCUUCCUUCCUUCCUUCCUUCCUUCCUUCCAUCCUUCCUUCCUUCUUCCCUCUCUCCCCCUCUUCUUCCUUCCCUCCUUUUUAUUCUUAUCACUAUGGAUUCAUGGAUUUUCAUUUUAUUCAAUAGGUUAUAAUCCAUUAUUAUUAUCAAUUCUGAUGCUCACACUGUCCCAGGUUUAGCAAGUGGGAGCCCCUUCAACUUGGUUGCUGUGCCCUUUUCACAUGUCUCCAUCAGUCUUUGAGCACUCUCUUGUUUUCUGGCACCACAAGAUGUCCCAGGCUUGUGUGGUACCUUCUCUGCCCAGCUCUGGCAUCAGCCAUUUCUCUGAGACACUCUGAGUCCUUUUGGUGAAGGCUGGUAUUUAUAAACCACGAUCUGGGUACCCUGUGGGUACUGAGCAACAUUUAGUCUGAAGCCAUGAGAAAUGGAGCAACACUUACUCAUCUGUGUAUUAGUCAUGCUAACUAGCGUGACCUGGAGAAAGAAGCAUAUGUGUCACUCAUGGAGAGUCUGAUGCAGAUUAGUGGAUCCUGGGAGAUUCCAUCUUUGCAGCCCUGACGUCCCUGCACGAGGUCAUUGCUGAAGAGAAGGCCGAGGAGUCAUGCCCGUUCUUAAGAUACUUCCAGCAAGGAAUUCUGCAUCACUUUUGCUCACGCUGCCAUUUGCCAGAAGUCCAAGGGAGUCUGGGCAGCACAGGGAACACACAGUCAGUUGGUGCGCCCUUACCCCUUCUAACCACAGUAUGUUCAUUCAUGCAACAAAUGUCAACUCGGUUCCUUGUAGCCAAUCUGACUCCAAGAGGCUGAGAUGACUUCACCUCAGGUGGUUUACAGCAGGGGGAGAAAGGAGAAUCAUCUCGACGGUAGAGCACCGGAUGGAAGGGAGAGAAGACAUCAAGACACACGGACCUGUUGGGAGGCUCUGGCAACCAUGUAGGCAUGAAGCAAUGAGGACCUGAACUGGGGGUAGCAGAGGGGACAGAUGGAAGGGGUUGGCUGUUGGAGCCAUUUGAGAACAAUGAAACCAUAGUGGUUUCCUUUAUUGCAGACCGUGUGGUUGAUAUUAUUUGCUCACAAUUGUUCCUGGCCUCCUCACAUUGCUGUGGCUUCCCUGUGGACAGGGCGUUGUUCUUGCUCGCCCACUGACCUGCUUUGGUCCUGGGUGCAUGAGUUGAGUUAACAUAUGCACCAUCCAACCAGAAGCUCCAAGUAUGUGCAUGGCUGGGGCAACCCUCUUGGCUCCCACCCUGCAUCCCGAGAAGGCAAGCCCCAGGGGUAUCAGUGGCCUGGGAAUGAGGGAGUGGAGGAGCAAACUGAACCUGACCCACAGUUCGGGGCAAAGCUUCCCCAGCUGACCACAGACCAUUAGCGACAAAUAAAAGUUCGUUAUUUUAAGCCA
Aethalodelphis obliquidens (Pacific white-sided dolphin) is the source of this 1492-nucleotide long non-coding RNA. RefSeq lists it as uncharacterized. Lineage: Eukaryota; Metazoa; Chordata; Mammalia; Artiodactyla; Delphinidae. The transcript is spliced from 2 exons. The record is from RefSeq and is a predicted model, not a curated record.